AUACCUUUCUCGGCCUUUUGGCUAAGAUCAAGUGUAGUAUCUGUUCUUAUCAGUUUAAUAUCUGAUAUAUGAACCAUUGGUUCAUACGAUAUUAAAUUUAUUUUUUUCUGAGAGAGGGUCAACUGCAGUAGCUUGCUACUCAGACUCUCAAGCAUCACUCUUGUUUUGCACUAUUGCAAGAGCUUGGUGCAUCUCAC
Phaseolus vulgaris (common bean) is the source of this 197-nucleotide non-coding RNA. The record is from Rfam. Lineage: Eukaryota; Viridiplantae; Streptophyta; Magnoliopsida; Fabales; Fabaceae.